Molecule: ribosomal RNA, 425 nt
Filed under: uncultured bacterium
Lineage: Bacteria
Description: bacterial SSU rRNA
Rfam family: Bacterial small subunit ribosomal RNA
Source: RNAcentral
GUGGGGAAUAUUGCACAAUGGGCGAAAGCCUGAUGCAGCAACGCCGCGUGAGUGAUGACGGCCUUCGGGUUGUAAAGCUCUGUCUUUGGGGACGAUAAUGACGGUACCCAAGGAGGAAGCCACGGCUAACUACGUGCCAGCAGCCGCGGUAAUACGUAGGUGGCAAGCGUUGUCCGGAUUUACUGGGCGUAAAGGGUGCGUAGGCGGACCUUUAAGUGAGAUGUGAAAUCCCCGAGCUUAACUUGGGGGCUGCAUUUCAAACUGGAGGUCUAGAGUGCAGGAGAGGAGAGUGGAAUUCCUAGUGUAGCGGUGAAAUGCGUAGAGAUUAGGAAGAACACCAGUGGCGAAGGCGACUCUCUGGACUGUAACUGACGCUGAGGCACGAAAGCGUGGGGAGCAAACAGGAUUAGAAACCCGUGUAGUCC